GCUUGUCGGCCAGAUGGGUGGGCUUUGAAAGCCCAUAAGAGAUGGCGAGCU
Molecule: transfer RNA, 51 nt
Filed under: Pomphorhynchus laevis
Lineage: Eukaryota; Metazoa; Acanthocephala; Palaeacanthocephala; Echinorhynchida; Pomphorhynchidae
Also listed under: 1 other name
Description: tRNA-Ser
Source: RNAcentral